This is a long non-coding RNA of Toxotes jaculatrix (banded archerfish), 351 nucleotides long. RefSeq lists it as uncharacterized. The transcript has 3 exons. The record is from RefSeq and is a predicted model, not a curated record. NCBI's taxonomy places the organism in Eukaryota, Metazoa, Chordata, Actinopteri, Toxotidae.
CUCCUACAGCUCCUACUGCUACAACAACAUACCAAACACAUCAGUGUUCACUGGGGGAGAAUGAAGAGAAUGAGCAGCUCUUCAGGAUACCACAAGCAGGUCUGCUGUGUGAUGGAUGCUGACGAGCAGCAGACAGACAUCCGUCUGGAAGGAAACAUCACUGCAUCCUCCGCUGGGCCUCCCUUUCCCACCUACUGACCGAUCAAUACUGAAGGCAGCUAAAGUGGAGCGCACAGAGCUGGAGCAACCUCUCAUGAACAGAUGGUGGCCAUAUAUUUCCAUCGAAGUGCGCUUGGCAGUGUGCUGACAGACUAAUCCAUCUUAGCGGGCAGAAGGAUGCUGCACUGUUCA